This 220-nucleotide small RNA is filed under the name Arabidopsis thaliana (thale cress). RNAcentral's name for it is "ATSL000080". The record is from RNAcentral. Lineage: Eukaryota; Viridiplantae; Streptophyta; Magnoliopsida; Brassicales; Brassicaceae.
AAUUAAAUUUAACUCAAAAACGAAAUACAUUAUUAAUUUCCAAAAAAGUAACCAAUUAAAAUCAACAAAUUAGAUUUGAUAUCUAAAUUAUCAUAUUAAUUUUUAAAAUGUAACCUUAUUUUUUGUAAGUAAUUACAUAGGUAUGCCAUUAGAAAUAAAAUUUUAAAGAGUAAAUUAAUUCAUUUCUUUAAAAAUUAAAAAGUCAAAUACUAAUUUAAUU